UUGAUUGAAAAAGCCAGAAACUCUCCCUUCUAAGAAAAUGUCAUGGUAUUUUACUUAAUAGAUUUAACAGUUAUUAUUUCAAUUAAGACUAAAAUUUUUAAAUUUGUAAAAUAUAAAGACUAAAAAUAAUUAAAAUAGAAAAUAGAUAUUAAAUUAGCUAUAUUUAAUUGUUAAAGAUUGAAAUUUUAAAAAUAUAAAGUUUAAAAUUGAUCGAUUACAGUAUCGAAGUUAAAUCUAUUAUUGAUACAACAAGCCUAAGGUGAGACAAAGGCUGUGCACGUGGGAAAGUGACGUGAUAGGUGGGG
This 305-nucleotide long non-coding RNA is filed under the name Gossypium barbadense (sea-island cotton). RNAcentral's name for it is "long non-coding RNA (GBAR_LNC022049)". The record is from RNAcentral. Lineage: Eukaryota; Viridiplantae; Streptophyta; Magnoliopsida; Malvales; Malvaceae.